RNAcentral lists this unclassified non-coding RNA (534 nucleotides) under Hevea brasiliensis (rubber tree). Lineage: Eukaryota; Viridiplantae; Streptophyta; Magnoliopsida; Malpighiales; Euphorbiaceae. The record is from RNAcentral.
GUGGGUGGAGCUGGUGAUGUGGUUAGUGUUUCCAUAAAAGGUUCUGAAACUAACUGGCAUGUAAUGUCAAGGAACUGGGGACAGAACUGGCAGAGCAACUCCUAUCUAAAUGGUCAAGCCCUCUCUUUCAAGGUCAUAACAAGUGAUGGACGCACACUCAUCGCCAACAAUGUUGCUCCCUCCAACUGGGCUUUUGGCCAAACCUACACUGGAGGCCAGUUCUAAUAAUAAGCUAACCAAAAUCACCCUUGUUCCAGACAGUCUAACAGAAAAUUUCUUCCUAGUCCUAUUAUAUAUAUACAAGUUUAUUUUUUAUAUAUGGUGUUUCAAUGGGGAAUUCUUUUUUAAAAAAUGACCCCAUAGUUAUAUAUGUAUGAGUUUGUGUCUGACUUGUAGCUUCAGGUUAAGUGUACAAGGCAUCUGCUAAGUGGUAAACAGGUGGCUUUUUUCUGAAAGAGACGUCAAAGAGCAAGUUUUUCCCUUUGCAUUGGCAUUGGUUGAGGUAUAACAAGUUGUUGUAUUAUGUUCUAAAAU